This 26-nucleotide non-coding RNA is filed under the name Rattus norvegicus (Norway rat). Lineage: Eukaryota; Metazoa; Chordata; Mammalia; Rodentia; Muridae. The record is from RNAcentral.
GGGAAAAGUCAGUGUGUGGAGAAGGA